AUAUACAGAUGAGUGGCUAUGAUAAUUCCACGUGUCAAGCAUCUAGUCUUUGGAGAGAAAGAUCUAGAGUAUAUCUAAGACCAUAUCUUGUCUGAACAUCAUCAUCUUCAUCCCUCAUCAUCUCAUCUUCUCUUUUCUUCUUUCUUCGACCACCAUGAGGUGAAUUAGUAUAGGGUUUUUCUGUGUUCUUCAUUCCAACAUCCACCCUCAAGGUGGACGGAAUUGUCAUGACCCCCAACUUGCCAAGAAUUUCCUUGUGAGAAACCCCAGAAAAGGGCUUGGUAAAUAGAUCGGCUAACUGAUUCUUGGAUGGAACGCAAGAUAGAGUUAUUAUCCUAGAUAGAAAUUGCUGACGCACAAAUUGACAGUCUAACUUGACGUGCUUUGUGCGUUCGUGAAAUACGAGAUCACGGGCAAUAUGGAUGGCAGCUUGACUAUCUGAGUGAAGCGGAAUAGGAAGGGUGACCAGAGCUGAAAGGUUUGCAAGCAGUCAAAUUAGCCAUGUAAUCUCAGCCGUCACGCGUCGCAUGGAUCGGUAUUUUGAUUCACCAGAUGACAAAGAAAUUGAGACCUGUUUUUUUGGCUUCCACUAGAUCGGAGCUCCGUCGAGGAUGAUUAAAAAACCACUCACCGAUCUUCGAGAGUCUUUGCACGAUGCCCAACCGGCAUCGCACAAUGUGAGCAAAGAAAAAGAGGGAUUUGAAGACAACAAGACCCCUUGUCCCGGAUCGUUGUGUAAAUAACGCAAAACCGGCAAAGCAAUAGAGAAAUGGACUAAGCAGGUAUUCUGCAUGUGUUGACUUAAACAACAAAUAGCAAAAGAGAGAUCUGGGCGAGUGUUGGUCAAAUAGUUCAACUUGCCAACCAACUGACAAUAAAUUAUGGGAUUUUCCAUGAGAGGACCAUGAUUGAUGAGUAGUUUCAAAGAGGGAUCCAAUAGAUAAGUGACCGGAGACAGAUGGGAUGCAUUGAAAUCCUCCAACAUAUCCAGUCUUGGUUCUAAGUCAUAAGCUUCAAGCAAACUCUUCUUUGAUUUGCUGGAUUCUUUUAGCGAGAGGCGCUAUAAUGAAGAGAUUUUACCAGGUUAUUCAAACUCCUUCAAGUUCUGGUUUAAGCUCUCCUGUGCCAAAUUCUUCUUCGUGUCCAGUUGUGCAUGACAAAGAUAAAGUGUUGGAUUUGGAUCUUCCUAAACCUGAUCCUGGUGAAAGAAAGCAAAUCUCACAAUAUUCUUAUAAUGAACAUGACCGAAUAAGGAGACAUUAUAUUCAAAAAGGACCAUGCCAACCUCGUGAUCAUACAUUCCCAAAGAAAGAAUUUGGUGGACUAAUGCAUCAAUUUAAUCCUGACUGGUUUCAUACUUCAUAUUCUGAAUGGUUAGAAUAUAGUGUUAAAGUUGAUGCCGGCUUUUGUUUAUGUUGAUACUUGUUUAAAAAUAAACAUGGAAGAGUUGGGGAUUCUUUUACAAAACGUGGUUUUAGAGCUUGGAAUAAAGGUAUAGAAAGGCUUAAUAGACAUAUUGGUGAUGUGAAUAGUCUUCACAAUCGGUGUUUCAAGAAGAUGAGAGACUUAAAGAAUCAAGAAAAAUUGAUUCUAACUUCUUUUGACAAGCAUAAUGAGAAAGAUAAAAAUAAUUAUCGAGUUCGGUUGAAUGCUUCGGUUGAUGUGACAAGAUUUCUUUUGAAACAAGGAAUGCCUUUCCGGGGCCACGAUGAAGGUGAAACUUCUACAAAAAGGGGAAAUUUUCUAGAACUUUUAAAAUGGUAUGCAAAUAGGCAUGAUGAAGUGAACAAAGUUGUACUAGAAAAUGCUCCACAAAAUAACAUGAUGAUUGCUCCAAGUAUCCAAAAGGAGAUCGUGAAUGCUUGUGCAAAAGAAACAAUGAAAGCAAUUGUUAAAGAUUUAAAUGGAGAUUACUUUGGCAUAUUGGUUGAUGAAUCUAAGGAUGUUUCUCAUAAGGAACAAAUGGCUCUUGUUCUUAGAUAUGUCAACAAAGAAGGCACACUUAUUGAACGAUUCCUUAGUGUUGUUCAUGUUCAAGAUACAACUGCAAUAGCAUUGAAAGAUGUUAUCUAUUCUUUGCUUUUAGAGUAUUCAUUGAGUCCAUCUCAAAUACGAGGACAAGGUUAUGAUGCAGCUAGUAACAUGCAAGGAAAAAAUUAAUGGUCUUAAAACUCUAGUUCUGGAAGACACUCCUUCAGCUUAUUGCAUACAUUGCUUUGCUCAUCAGUUGCAAUUGACUCUUGUAGCUGUUGCAAAGAAGCACUAUGAUGUAGAUCAAUUUUUUGAUAUUGUUGCUAAUGUAUUGAAUAUUGUUAGAGGUUAUUUUAAGCACAGGGAGAUUCUUCGAGAAGAUCAAGCAAAAAAACUAGAGGAAUUACUAGUGCUUGGUGAAGUUCAUACGGGAAGUGGACUAAAUAAAGAACUUGGGCUUCAAAGGCCAGGUGACACCCGUUGGGGAUCUCACUUUAAAAUAGUGUGUAAUUUUAUUGCAUUAUUCUCAUCAAUUGUUCAUGUGCUUGAAGUAAUUGGAAGUGAGAAUACAACUUAUCUAGAGAGAUCCAUGGCAAAAUGUCUAGUGAAUGAUAUAAGAUCUUUUGAGUUUGUCCAUAUGUU
Molecule: RNA transcript, 2613 nt
Organism: Lycium ferocissimum
Lineage: Eukaryota; Viridiplantae; Streptophyta; Magnoliopsida; Solanales; Solanaceae
Exons: 3
Source: RefSeq, a predicted model, not a curated record